RNAcentral lists this ribosomal RNA (578 nucleotides) under uncultured Bacteroidota bacterium. RNAcentral's name for it is "bacterial SSU rRNA". It matches the Rfam family "Bacterial small subunit ribosomal RNA", at positions 338 to 916 of the family's 1533-position model. The record is from RNAcentral. Lineage: Bacteria; Pseudomonadati; Bacteroidota.
CCUACGGGAGGCAGCAGUGAGGAAUAUUGGUCAAUGGGCGGAAGCCUGAACCAGCCAUGCCGCGUGCGGGAAGAAGGCGCUACGCGUCGUAAACCGCUUUUGUCCGGGGGUAACCGCGGGGACGUGUCCCCGCCUGCAAGUACCGGACGAAUAAGGGUCGGCUAACUCCGUGCCAGCAGCCGCGGUAAUACGGAGGACCCGAGCGUUAUCCGGAUUCAUUGGGUUUAAAGGGUGCGUAGGCGGCCCGGUAAGUCAGCGGUGAAAGGCUCCUGCUCCACAGGAGAGCUGCCGUUGAUACUGCUGGGCUAGAAUCUUAGCGAGGCGGGCGGAAUGCGCGGUGUAGCGGUGAAAUGCAUAGAUAUCGCGCAGAACGCCGAUUGGGGAGCCAGCUCGCCAGCUGACCAUUGACGCUGAGGCACGAAAGCGUGGGGAUCGAACAGGAUUAGAUACCCUGGUAGUCCACGCCGUAAACGAUGAUGGCUCGCUCUUGGCCCGCAGGGGUCAGGGGCUUAGCGAAAGCGUUAAGCCAUCCACCUGGGGAGUACGCCGGCAACGGUGAAACUCAAAGGAAUUGACGG